GACGAACCGUGCGAACGUUGUUCGGAAUCACUGGGCUUAAAGGGCGCGUAGGCGGGUCUUCAAGUUUGGGGUGAAAUCCUCCGGCUCAACCGGAGAACUGCCUCGAAUACUGAAGGUCUCGAGGGGGAUAGGGGCAUGCGGAACUACGGGUGGAGCGGUGAAGUGCGUUGAUAUCCGUAGGAACUCCGGUGGCGAAGGCGGCGUGCUGGAUCCCUUCUGACGCUGAGGCGCGAAAGCCAGGGGAGCAAACGGG
This 253-nucleotide ribosomal RNA is filed under the name uncultured bacterium. RNAcentral describes it as "partial 16S ribosomal RNA". It matches the Rfam family "Bacterial small subunit ribosomal RNA", at positions 524 to 776 of the family's 1533-position model. The record is from RNAcentral.